Bos taurus (domestic cattle) is the source of this 514-nucleotide long non-coding RNA. Lineage: Eukaryota; Metazoa; Chordata; Mammalia; Artiodactyla; Bovidae. The record is from Ensembl.
ACCGAGCACCAAGGCCCAGGGGCGUGAACAGUGCGCCCCGGCACUUGGAUCCCUAGCUGGGCUGCCAUCAGCUCCCUGCAUGGCCUUAGCAAGCUGCUUGAACUUUCUGAGCGUCUGUCUCCUCAUCUCGCUGGAGAAAAUCCAAGAUGCAUGAGAGAAGGAGAACAGUGUGGUGAAAAUACAUUGGAGUUUGAUGAAAAUUUGCUUUCCUUGCGAGGCAAUUGAUUAGAUCACGCCUGUCUAUCGAAAGGGAUCAGCUCAGUUCAGAAGUAACAGCACAUCCUAUUUCUCAACCUGAGCUGCACCUCCAUGGCUUCCAGUUUGGUUUGUUUGGCCUUGAGGCCUGUGGGAUCCUAGCUCCCCCAACAGGGAUCAAACCCACACCGUCUUUGUUGGAGGGCAAAGUCUUAACCACUGGACCGCCAGGGAAGUCCCAAGUGUGUUUUAAAGAGUUAGUCUUCAGGUCACAUGGAUGCCCUCCCCACCCGCUCCGUGUUCAAGAGAGAACCUGGAC